Molecule: ribosomal RNA, 459 nt
Filed under: uncultured bacterium
Lineage: Bacteria
Description: partial 16S ribosomal RNA
Rfam family: Bacterial small subunit ribosomal RNA
Source: RNAcentral
CCUACGGGAGGCAGCAGUGAGGAAUAUUGGUCAAUGGGCGCAAGCCUGAACCAGCCAAGUCGCGUGAGGGAUGAAGGUACAGAGUAUCGUAAACCUCUUUUGUCAGGGAACAAAGGCGGGGACGCGUCCCCGGAUGAGUGUACCUGAAGAAAAAGCAUCGGCUAACUCCGUGCCAGCAGCCGCGGUAAUACGGAGGAUGCGAGCGUUAUCCGGAUUUAUUGGGUUUAAAGGGUGCGCAGGCGGUCUGUUAAGUCAGCGGUCAAAGCCCGGGGCUCAACCCCGGCCCGCCGUUGAAACUGGCAGUCUCGAGUUGGAGAGAAGUAUGCGGAAUGCGCGGUGUAGCGGUGAAAUGCAUAGAUAUCGCGCAGAACUCCGAUUGCGAAGGCAGCAUGCCGGCUCCACACUGACGCUGAGGCACGAAAGCGUGGGUAUCGAACAGGAUUAGAUACCCCAGUAGUC